UACGUAGGGUGCAAGCGUUGUCCGGAAUUAUUGGGCGUAAAGAGCUCGUAGGCGGUCUGUCGCGUCGGCUGUGAAAACUCGGGGCUCAACCCCGAGCCUGCAGUCGAUACGGGCAGACUAGAGUGCUGUAGGUGAGACUGGAAUUCCUGGUGUAGCGGUGAAAUGCGCAGAUAUCAGGAGGAACACCGGUGGCGAAGGCGGCCCUCUGGACGGUGACUGACGCUGAGACGCGAAAGCGUGGGGAGCAAACAGG
This 253-nucleotide ribosomal RNA is filed under the name uncultured bacterium. RNAcentral describes it as "partial 16S ribosomal RNA". It matches the Rfam family "Bacterial small subunit ribosomal RNA", at positions 524 to 776 of the family's 1533-position model. The record is from RNAcentral.